Long non-coding RNA from Neopsephotus bourkii (Bourke's parrot), 566 nucleotides. RefSeq lists it as uncharacterized. The transcript has 2 exons. The record is from RefSeq and is a predicted model, not a curated record. Lineage: Eukaryota; Metazoa; Chordata; Aves; Psittaciformes; Psittacidae.
CCAGCGCGGUGGCUCCGAGGCGCGGCGCGGCACUGCGCGCACAUGGACGCGGCUCUGCUCCGCACCCGCGGCCGGGCUCAGGGCGAGCCGCGCUGCAUUUCUGUUUGCACUCCUCCUCUUCCUCUAUCCCCCCCCUCCCCACUCCGCUCUCAGAGAGGGCGGGAGGGGAAGGAAAAAGCAGAAAAGAAGCCACGAGAAAAAGCACCAGGUCAGCAAACAAACAGAAAAAGAAGAAAGCAGUGACUCUGGGAACUGGGAGGCAUGAGAGAGAUACAUCUGAACAGGACCUUUCUCCACAGAACUGCAGCUAGUAGAGCGCAAGCCCAAGCCCAUGGGCACAUACAUGGAACAAUAGGGAGCAGAAGCAGAAAAGCUCUGUCAAGUUUGUACCCAAUGCAGCAAACACAAGUAUAAAAAGGGCACAAAGUCUGGUUACCACACUUCAAAAUUGUAAGGGAUCAGAACAUAGCUCCAGAAGGGCCUGAGGUCUACAAAGAAUAUGAAUCUAGUGAGACACUUGAGCAGUCUUUUUUGCUGCAGUAAUAAACACAUCUACAGGGGUUUCA